GAAGAAAGCUGAGGUAUGAGACUUUAUACUCCAUAUUAUUUGUGACAGCUUUUGUACCUUUUUUUCUGAGAGUGCGAGGAGGAAUGUAACCCUGGUUUUCCUGCUUUUACUUUCUCUUCUCACGACUCCCUACUGUUCACGCUAUCGCGAGAUUUAUGCAAGUAUUGCAUAGAGGUCGCAUCAUUUCCCUUUAAAUAUGGCGGCGCGCUAUUGUGUGUGUGUGUGUGUGUGUGUGUGUGUGUGUGUGUGUGAGAGAGUCGAUGUCUUGUGCUGCUGCAGGUAGGCGGUUAACCCUGUAAAUGUAUUAUAUUGAUUCAUUAGACUGCCGGUUUUGAAUUAUGCCUGCCAAUUUUCUCCAUUUUGGUUAAGACUGUGCUGUGUUGAGUGACUUAAUGAUACGAGAACUGGCCAGGUUUUUUGUAUUGAUGGCGAGCUACUAGGCCCUGAACCAAAGACUGGGAGUGCAAGCAUCUGCCGGUGUGGUAGGAGGCGCUGCAGUCGCUCCCCUCGCAUACCAUUAUACACCCUUGCACAUCCUUAUUACAUAUCUUCAUGCACAUUCAUUUCUGCUUUAUGGACUGAUCUUUCUUGAACUCUCUUUGAUUGUCGGACGUUGCUUAUUGCGUGGGUGAUAUAUGAACAGUUGCAGCACUUAAAUUCUUCAAUCCAUGUAUACAUUCUGAGGACACUUGAAUGGUUCAAGAAUCAUUUUGAACUCAAUACUAUCUAUGUGUAUAUGUAAAUGUUGUCAAAUUAUUUCACUGUAAUAUACUUCACCACUGAGUAUUGCAAUUUUGUGUCUGUCUCAUUGAACACACCAUUUUCCUCCUUGAGCUGAAUUUAGUCUUCUGAUAUUGGUCCAUUAUUUUAAUCUGCUAUUGCAGUAUUUAUACACGUUACAUGAACAUAAGAUCUUAUUUUUGAUAUAAUAUGUUCAGUUCAUCUCUAGAAUAUGCCUGAGAUACCGACAUCGGAUCAACUUUUGGAUGUAUCCUUCACUGCUUAUGAUAUCCCACAAUUCUGUGCUUUUGCAGGA
Molecule: long non-coding RNA, 1036 nt
Filed under: Sinocyclocheilus grahami
Lineage: Eukaryota; Metazoa; Chordata; Actinopteri; Cypriniformes; Cyprinidae
Description: lncRNA (ENSSGRG00000041235.1)
Source: RNAcentral